RNAcentral lists this ribosomal RNA (246 nucleotides) under uncultured bacterium. RNAcentral's name for it is "partial 16S ribosomal RNA". It matches the Rfam family "Bacterial small subunit ribosomal RNA", at positions 87 to 334 of the family's 1533-position model. The record is from RNAcentral.
UAUGGCGACCGGCGCACGGGUGAGUAACACGUAUCCAACCUGUCGAUGACUCGGGGAUAGCCUUUCGAAAGAAAGAUUAAUACCCGAUGGCAUAGUUCUUCCGCAUGGUAGAACUAUUAAAGAAUUUCGGUCAUCGAUGGGGAUGCGUUCCAUUAGGUUGUUGGCGGGGUAACGGCCCACCAAGCCUUCGAUGGAUAGGGGUUCUGAGAGGAAGGUCCCCCACAUUGGAACUGAGACACGGUCCAA